AAGAAACUAACAAGGAUUCCCCUAGUAACUGCGAGUGAACCGGGAAAAGCUCAAAUUUUGAAUCUGGCGGUCUUUCGGCCGUCCGAGUUGUAAUCUAGAGAAGCGUCUUCCGCGCUGGACCGUGUAUAAGUUUCCUGGAAUGGAACGUCGUAGAGGGUGAGAAUCCCGUCUUUGACACGGACUGCCAGGGCUAUGCGAUGCGCUCUCGACGAGUCGAGUUGUUUGGGAAUGCAGCUCAAAUAGGGUGGUAAAUUCCAUCUAAAGCUAAAUACAGGCGAGAGACCGAUAGCGAACAAGUACCGUGAGGGAAAGAUGAAAAGAACUUUGGAAAGAGAGUUAAACAGUACGUGAAAUUGCUGAAAGGGAAACGCUUGAUGUCAGUCGCGUCGGCCGGGGAUCAGCCUUGCUCUUUUGCUCGGCGUACUUCCUGGUCGACGGGUCAGCAUCGGUUUUGACCGUCGGAAAAUGGCUCGAGGAAUGUGGCACUCUUCGGGGUGUGUUAUAGACUCGGGUCGAAUGCGACGGUCGGGACCGAGGAACUCAGCACGACCCUUCGGGGUUCGGGGCUUCGGCUCACGUUUGACGUGCUUAGGAUGCUGGCAUAAUGGCCUUAAGCGACCCGUCU
Molecule: ribosomal RNA, 625 nt
Filed under: uncultured fungus
Lineage: Eukaryota; Fungi
Description: eukaryotic LSU rRNA
Rfam family: Eukaryotic large subunit ribosomal RNA
Source: RNAcentral